CGGCGCUCUAAUUAGGUGUAACUGCACACAAACCGCCCUCUUUUCGUGAAAAUGACAGCUUCUCGCUCUUCUAUACAUUUCCACAAAAGAGUUUUACCGUAUGCACUCUCAGGAGGCUGCUGCAUCUCAAUCUCUUCGCUGUUCAUGCUUAAUUGAACGACAUUGAAAACUGAAUUCUUCAUGAAAAGUCUACUUACUUUUUUCCUUUGCGCAGCAAUGAAAGUCUGCUGGGCUGCAGGAUCUCCACAGUCCUCUUCUCUUCAAAAACGGGCUGAGCAAGUGGCGGAUGUUCCAGAGAAAGGUGAGGAAGUGGUGAUGGUAACGGCGUUGGAGGAGUCCCAUUUAUCGUGGGGGGUCCCAUAUGACCAAUUAAGUGAAGAACAGAAACAUCAUGUUUUUUUACGGAUGGAGCAGCUAAGUAUGUUAAUGGUAAGCGAAAGUGGAAAGCUGCGGCAUACAAUCAAUGUGCGCAGCAAAUGAUUGAAAUUACAGGAGAAGGUAAAAGCAAUGGGCUGAAUUACGAGCGGUAGUAAUGGUUUUGGAGCAGGAGUGAUUGAUUCGGCGCCUAAGGAUGGCGACAUGUCCCAGCUAAUAAAUGUUAUUUACGAGAAAACUAAUCGGCAUGCGAGUUCUUUUCUUAUGUGUGUAGGAUGGCGUGAUGGUUUUGGUGGUGGGCGUGGCCGACGCUGCUGGCGAUGUUCGGCUAUGCUGCAGUCCCAGGGACCGAGUUGGAACACGUACGUUUACCUUCAAGCUUACGUGGAAAAACAGCACCAAGACCUGGCAGCAGGACAACUUCACCUGUCCAGCCAACCAACCCUGCUUCAUCAUUGAAUUAACCCCUGUGAACGGGAGCGAGAUGUAUGUCUGUAUGGGAUGCCACAACGGGAAAGAACAUUCCCAUCCUCGCGUCUGCUGGAGUGCCCCCUCAAGUGGGUGUGGGAACUCGAUGGAUGAAUUGGAACGAAUGUACUAUGGCUAUGUUACAUGCCAAAAUAUAACGAAAUAAUGUUUAACAAAUGUUAAUGUCAUUCAAUCCUGGUGCAUGGAAACGAUUUUGGAAUAUUGAUCCCAGUAUGUGGCUGCAUUUAAAGCCUGAAAUAACUCAAUGUAAUGAUACUUUGCGUACUGGACAAUGGAAAAUGUAUUAUGUAACUACCCCCCAAACUUUGCGUAGGUUCACGUGCUGCCCAUAAUAGCUGGAGGGGCAUAUUGAACUUUACAAGUAAAGGGGGAAUGGCUAGACAUCUACACUAUCAAAACGUAUGAUAUACUAGAUUGGAAUGAAACUGAUAAAGGAUAUGUAUGUUUUCUAUGA
Long non-coding RNA from Paramormyrops kingsleyae, 1318 nucleotides. RefSeq lists it as uncharacterized. Lineage: Eukaryota; Metazoa; Chordata; Actinopteri; Osteoglossiformes; Mormyridae. The record is from RefSeq and is a predicted model, not a curated record.